Molecule: ribosomal RNA, 253 nt
Filed under: uncultured bacterium
Lineage: Bacteria
Description: partial 16S ribosomal RNA
Rfam family: Bacterial small subunit ribosomal RNA
Source: RNAcentral
GACGAACCGUGCAAACGUUACUCGGAUUCACUGGGCUUAAAGGGCGCGUAGGCGGCUCGCCAAGUCUGGGGUGAAAUCUUUCGGCUUAACCGGAAAAUUGCCUGGGAUACUGGCGGGCUCGAGGGAGGUAGGGGUCAUGGGAACGACCAGUGGAGCGGUGAAAUGCGUUGAUAUUGGUCGGAACGCCGGUGGCGAAAGCGCAUGACUGGAUCUCUUCUGACGCUGAGGCGCGAAAGCCAGGGGAGCAAACGGG